RNAcentral lists this ribosomal RNA (845 nucleotides) under uncultured Enterobacteriaceae bacterium. Its description in RNAcentral is "partial 16S ribosomal RNA". It matches the Rfam family "Bacterial small subunit ribosomal RNA", at positions 28 to 873 of the family's 1533-position model. Lineage: Bacteria; Pseudomonadati; Pseudomonadota; Gammaproteobacteria; Enterobacterales; Enterobacteriaceae. The record is from RNAcentral.
AUUGAACGCUGGCGGCAGGCCUAACACAUGCAAGUCGAACGGUAACAGGAAGAAGCUUGCUUCUUUGCUGACGAGUGGCGGACGGGUGAGUAAUGUCUGGGAAACUGCCUGAUGGAGGGGGAUAACUACUGGAAACGGUAGCUAAUACCGCAUAACGUCGCAAGACCAAAGAGGGGGACCUUCGGGCCUCUUGCCAUCGGAUGUGCCCAGAUGGGAUUAGCUAGUAGGUGGGGUAACGGCUCACCUAGGCGACGAUCCCUAGCUGGUCUGAGAGGAUGACCAGCCACACUGGAACUGAGACACGGUCCAGACUCCUACGGGAGGCAGCAGUGGGGAAUAUUGCACAAUGGGCGCAAGCCUGAUGCAGCCAUGCCGCGUGUAUGAAGAAGGCCUUCGGGUUGUAAAGUACUUUCAGCGGGGAGGAAGGGAGUAAAGUUAAUACCUUUGCUCAUUGACGUUACCCGCAGAAGAAGCACCGGCUAACUCCGUGCCAGCAGCCGCGGUAAUACGGAGGGUGCAAGCGUUAAUCGGAAUUACUGGGCGUAAAGCGCACGCAGGCGGUGUUGUUAAGUCAGUGUGAAAUCCCCGGGGCUCAACCUGGGAACUGCAUCUGAUACUGGCAAGUUGAGUCUCGUAAACGGGGGGGAGAAUUCCCAGGGGUAGCGGGGAAAGGCGGCGAAUCUGGAGAAAACCUCGUGGGAAAAGGACCCCCAGGGGAAAAAACGAGAGUCACGUGGGAAGGGGGGGGGUGGACAGAAUAGAGGAUCUGGUAUCAAAAGCCCGGGGGGGGGGAGCCGCUUUGUGGUGCCCGGAGGGGAGGGGGGGGGGGGGGAGCGGGGUGAGUU